This 224-nucleotide long non-coding RNA is filed under the name Carica papaya (papaya). Its description in RNAcentral is "long non-coding RNA (CPAP_LNC001453)". The record is from RNAcentral. Lineage: Eukaryota; Viridiplantae; Streptophyta; Magnoliopsida; Brassicales; Caricaceae.
AUCAUCCUCACUGUUGGAUCACAAUCCAAGUGCGAAUGGGCUCAAAAUCGUCUGAUCUACAUCAAUGCAUGCAGACUGUCGGAUGGCCCUUACACGAGGAUCGCCGUGCACGCAAGCGUACCCUACAUGGCCGCCACAUGGCAGACGGCCUUUAGGGUCGCGGCCACGUCAAAUGCUCAUGCGACCUAGCUUUCUGUAAUUUCCUUCGUUUAGAUCCCUGGACC